AACGUAGGAGACAAACGUUAUCCGGAGUUACUGGGCGUAAAGGGCGUGUAGGUGGUUACGUAAGUCUGGCGUGAAAUUUUUCGGCUUAACCGGGAAAGGUCGUCGGAUACUGCGGGACUAGAGGACGGUAGAGGCGUGUGGAAUUCCGGGUGUAGUGGUGAAAUUCGUAGAUAUUCGCAAGAACACCAGUGGCGAAGGCGGCUCACUGGCCCGGAACUGACGCUGAGGUGCGAAAGCGUGGGGAGCAAACAGG
Molecule: ribosomal RNA, 253 nt
Filed under: uncultured bacterium
Lineage: Bacteria
Description: partial 16S ribosomal RNA
Rfam family: Bacterial small subunit ribosomal RNA
Source: RNAcentral